This 297-nucleotide unclassified non-coding RNA is filed under the name Hevea brasiliensis (rubber tree). The record is from RNAcentral. Lineage: Eukaryota; Viridiplantae; Streptophyta; Magnoliopsida; Malpighiales; Euphorbiaceae.
GGAGAGCCUACAUUCUUGACUCUGCGAGUCACAGUGGUUGAGCCUGUGAGCUUUGGAACUGUGAUCGAAGGGUAGUUGAAUGUCGAUUCACUAAAAUGCUCAGGACAUGUAUAAGAAGCAUUUCCAAAUGAUCGUAUGAAGGAUAUGUUGUACUUAUGGUGACACAGAAGGUCUAGGUGAUCAUUCAAAGUUAAAUCAUAAACUAGGCCGGGAUCUGCUGCAAGGUUUGGACGUACAUGUCCAGCACCAUAUGCAAAUGGUGUUGCAGUUUUCCCAUCUGCAUCAAGUAUAGGCUUC